RNA transcript from Mauremys reevesii (Reeves's turtle), 1837 nucleotides. It is a transcript of the gene named chromosome 2 C8orf89 homolog, with no coding region annotated. NCBI's taxonomy places the organism in Eukaryota, Metazoa, Chordata, Testudines, Geoemydidae. The transcript is spliced from 11 exons. The record is from RefSeq and is a predicted model, not a curated record.
CGGCCAGGCCGCUGCUCCGGGCUCGCAGCGUAAGGGGGGGGGGGGGCUCCUGGUCUGGUGCCGCGGGCGCCGCCUCGGUGACUCUGUAGCAGGGCGGGGAUGCUGCUGCCCGGGGCCGCAUCCCGCAGCCGCCGGGGCUCCUCUUUCUCCUGCUGCCGCCGCCGGGCACCUCCCAGCCCCCUCCCGCCGCAGCCGCCCGGGAGCUGAGCCCCGAGGCUAGCGGCACCAUGAGCAGGAGCCAGCCCCGCUGGGGGCACCGGGAAUCAUACGUAAAAGAAAUUAAAUACCCAGAGUCAUCAUUCCUCUCUGAAUGCAGAUCAAUUUCAUCUCAGGCAUCAAAAGAACAAAAAAUGCCAAGUCUAACGUCUGACCACAAAUAUCUGAAUAAUAAAGCCUCAGGAAGAUCACUGGGAUGUUUUCCCUUUGAAAGUAAUUGGAGGAGUGCAUUGUUAAAGACAGAAAGGAUAAAAAAAGCAGAAUACUCUUCAACCUUUGACUUGAGAGACUGCGAGGAGAGUGCUGCAAUAUCAAAUCUUACUCAGGGAGUCCAGAGCUAUCAAGAAAACCCAUCUCCUAUUCUGCAGAUGAAAAAAGGACUUGCAUAUGGUGCUGCUAAACCAUUUCCAACUGGCUCUUAUAGUGAAGAUGAGCAUCAUUUUGUGCCAACUUCGUACAUACUUCCACAGACCUCAUCACAGUACUUAGGAUAUGAGUUUUGCCAAAACAGGGGAGAUAUACCUGUGGUGGAUCUGCAGAAGAGAGGACUAGAUUCUUGGAUCCCAAGUCCACUGAAGAUGCCAGCCAUUCAUGAUGGAGGUGGAGAGAUAGGAGCUUUGAGUGACUGAACUCCAGCUGUAAUAAAAUGGAGAUGCCAGUACUGUACUCCUGCUUAUUGUGUUUGGCCACUGGACUGAAAAAUCAGUAUAUUUAUUCAGCUCUUGUCUGGUGAGGGAGACUGGGACUGAGAUGAAAAGCCUCAGGACUGGAGACUGUAACAGGCUAGGUCUUCACUACCUGAUCUAUCGUGUGUAAAAUCAAUCCCUGAUCACGCUCCAUCAACUCCAAACUCCAGCUCACGAGAGGCGGAAGUAGAGUCGAAAGGGGAGCGGCAGCAGUCAACUCGCCGCUGUCCUCAUGGCCAGAUCUACUACUUUUACUCUGGAGUCUCUCUUCAACAAGCUAACAAGGGCUUAGUCUGACCUACUCUUGAGCAAAAGCAAAGCAGGAAGGUGAUACUCUUGAUUCACAGUUCAGUGCCCUCACCAGAAAACAACCAGGAAUAUAGUUCAACUUCAAUUAGUUGAAGGUGUAUAAUAGAAGAACAAGCAUGAGAACAAUUUGAAUUGAUAGACAAACCUGCUAUUUUAUCGUCACUCCAAGAUGAAAUGUAAACGAGGAUAAUUCACUCUCCAUGCAGUUGCUACUUUGCCUCUUUUACUGACAACGCUAAAACAUGGGCUUCAUUCCGAAUAUGCUGGUGGAACUAGACUGACUGAACGAGUCCUCUGAUAUUACUGUCAAUUCACACCUACCUGGACCUACUAGUGGAAGGCUUUUAUUACAAAUGAUAUGAACUUUUAAACACUCUAUAGUGCUGCUCUAUCAAAUAUGGGAAGGCCAAAUUUACCCCACACAUCUUAACAAAAUGAAUCUAUUCCUCAUGAAUUUUAACCAUAGUCCAAAAUGGUAAAUAUCUUACCCUCUGAUCCUGAUCACAAAGGCCAGUUUUGGUUCAGCAGGUACAUAGUAAUUGCCAGCUUUGCGUGCCAUUCGGGCCAUACGAAUCUCACGUCUAUACAUUUGCCUGUACUCCUUGUGAUAGGCCUGAGCUCUUGCA